UACGUAGGGUGCAGGCGUUAAUCGGAAUUACUGGGCGUAAAGCGUGCGCAGGCGGUUUGCUAAGACAGGUGUGAAAUCCCCGGGCUUAACCUGGGAACUGCGCUUGUUACUGGCAGGCUUGAGUGUGGCAGAGGGGGGUGGAAUUCCACGUGUAGCAGUGAAAUGCGUAGAGAUGUGGAGGAACAGCGAUGGCGAAGGCAGCCCCCUGGGCUAACACUGACGCUCAUGCACGAAAGCGUGGGGAGCAAACAGG
Molecule: ribosomal RNA, 253 nt
Filed under: uncultured bacterium
Lineage: Bacteria
Description: partial 16S ribosomal RNA
Rfam family: Bacterial small subunit ribosomal RNA
Source: RNAcentral